RNAcentral lists this ribosomal RNA (497 nucleotides) under uncultured bacterium. RNAcentral describes it as "partial 16S ribosomal RNA". It matches the Rfam family "Bacterial small subunit ribosomal RNA", at positions 28 to 507 of the family's 1533-position model. The record is from RNAcentral.
GAUGAACGCUGGCGGCGUGCCUAAUACAUGCAAGUCGAGCGAACGGACGAGAAGCUUGCUUCUCUGAUGUUAGCGGCGGACGGGUGAGUAACACGUGGAUAACCUACCUAUAAGACUGGGAUAACUUCGAGAAACCGUAGCUAAUACCGGAUAAUCUUUUGAACCGCAGGGUUCAAUAGUAAAAGACGGUCUUGCUGGCACUACUAGAUGGUUCCCCGCUGCAUGAGCUAGUUGGUAAGGUAACAGCUUACCAAGGCAACGAUGCGUAGCCGACCGGAUAGAGUGGUCGGCCACACUGGAACUGAGACACGCUCCAGACUCCUACGGGAGGCAGCAGUAGGGAAUCUUCCGCAAUGGGCGAAAGCCUGACGGAGCAACGCCGCGUGAGUGAUGAAGGUCUUCGGAUCGUAAAACUCUGUUAUGAGGGAAGAACAUAUGUGUAAGGAACUGUGCACAGCUUGACGGUACCUAAUCAGAAAGCCACGGCUAACUACGUG